Molecule: ribosomal RNA, 496 nt
Filed under: uncultured bacterium
Lineage: Bacteria
Description: partial 16S ribosomal RNA
Rfam family: Bacterial small subunit ribosomal RNA
Source: RNAcentral
AUGCACGCUGGCGGCGUGCCUAAUCCCUGCAAGUCGCGCGCACGGACGAGAAGCUUGCUUCUCUGAUGUUAGCGGCGGACGGGUGAGUAACACGUGGAUAACCUACCUAUAAGACUGGGAUAACUUCGGGAAACCGGAGCUAAUACCGGAUAAUAUUUUGAACCGCAUGGUUCAAAAGUGAAAGACGGUCUUGCUGUCACUUAUAGAUGGAUCCGCGCUGCAUUAGCUAGUUGGUAAGGUAACGGCUUACCAAGGCAACGAUGCAUAGCCGACCUGAGAGGGUGAUCGGCCACACUGGAACUGAGACACGGUCCAGACUCCUACGGGAGGCAGCAGUAGGGAAUCUUCCGCAAUGGGCGAAAGCCUGACGGAGCAACGCCGCGUGAGUGAUGAAGGUCUUCGGAUCGUAAAACUCUGUUAUUAGGGAAGAACAUAUGUGUAAGUAACUGUGCACAUCUUGACGGUACCUAAUCAGAAAGCCACGGCUAACUACGUG